AAUAGACUGAGUGAUUUAUUUCAGAACUCUGAUGUUUUAUCACAAACAGAUUUUGAUUGAAGCACUCCCCAUCUUAUGGCUGUUUAGAAGAAUUCACUGGUAGGUCUCCUUCAUUAAGCCACUGAAGGUCACAGAAAAGCCUGUAAGUGCUCAAUGCCUUUGAGAUUUCUGCCUAUCUGCCACGUUUGGUUUAAGCUGGCUGAGUGGCUUAAGGCACCUGGAGCAUGUCAGGAAGGCACGGUAGAGAGCUCCUCCCAUCCUCCUGGGUGCAAAAGCUCAAGGUACACACCAGUGCAGCCUGCACAGUGCUGAUUGUGAGUGUGUGUGCCACAAGAGCUAAGGCAGAGCUUCUCCAUCUCAAAUUGCCCAGGCCAAGUCACUCCUAAGCACCAUUUCUGCACCGUGGCUGGGGUCAUUCUGCCAAGCCUUGCAGUCCUGCCUCUGUCUUUCUCAGAUGAUGGUCUGCUUGGUUUCAUGGAGCUGCAUGUUUUGACCUGCCAACCCCAAGUAAUUUGUAGAAUAGCCAAUUUCUGCCGCAGUUUUGCAGGAGUGACUCACUGCUGAAUGUAUUUCCUCCUUUUCCAGUGGAACUGUGUACUAGAAACACAGUCUGUGCACCCAACUGGGGAGCAGGGAAGAAAAGGAGUGGGUCUGGGUAAUACAGCAGGGAAGAUCAUACUUCGUUGCAGUUCCCAUCCUUCUGAGUGCAAUCCAUUUUUUGCCUAAGGCAAGUAUACAUCCUGUGGACUUUGAGGGAAGUUGAGGAUCAAAAAGUUUGAUAUAGCUGACAGAAUGUUAAUAUUUCAGGAGACAGCCACUACAUUCAUCCUCUUGCCACUGCAGAAAUAAAACCCCUCUUCCCUAAGUGAUUUUCAAGUGGGAAGCUGACAGUAGUUAAUGCUUUUGACAGAAAAAGUAGACUCCCUUGUUUAAACAGACUGUCUGCACACGCACAGUCUUCCCCACACAUAGGGUGGAGAAAGAGAAGUGGUCUUUGAACAAAAUCACACACUUUAUUUUUAAUCAAGAGAGCAUUUUUUAUAUUAGAGAAUUUUCUUGGCCUGUGGACCUGAAAUUUCCAUGUGAAGGUCCAGUAUUCACUGACACUUGAUCUAAUUCACCUGAACUGCCUCACAAGGACUGGCUGUGUGAGCAGCAGUGUGCUUUGGUGCACUGACACUGUUAUCCAGUUCAUCUGGUGAGGGAAAAGGGGAGAUAGGUGUACUGCUUCACCUGCACCCGUGUAUUCUGAGGCCCCUUCGGAUGCUCAAAGAGAGCACAUGGUGCUGUCAUAGAAUCACAGAGUCGUCGUGGUCAGAAGAGAUCACUAAGAUCAUCAUGUCCAAUUGUCAGCCCAUCACCACCACUAACCAUGGCCCUCAGUUCCACGUCUCCACAUCUGUUGAAAGUGCAUGAAGUUUUCCAGCCGUAGAAGCCCUCCUUCUGUCUUUUUCUCUGUAAUCUCUAAUUGCAGUGGUUGCAUUACCAGCGCAAGUCUGAGUUGAGCUGAGCGUUUUGCUAUUUCCUGGAUGUGAUGAGCACCGGCAAUGGUGCAUGUCAACAGUGCUUUCAGCUUCACGUGCAGCUGUUUCAUCACCCAGCCGGGCUGUGGUUCGAGGAGGGGCUCAGCCUGCAGAACUGGCACUGAGGUCCUCAGCCCUUGAAAUGCUAGGAGAAAGGUGUCAUAGCAAAAGACUUCGGGCCUGCUGCCUUUUGAGCCGAUGCACUCUCAUCAGCGGAGAAGGUGAAGUGGAGAAUACGCGGAAUACUUCAUAGUGGGAUCGUGGGAGACUCUUGUGUAUAGUUGAUUCAUUUUGGAAAGCAAAACUGACGGACCUUUGUGCAUCCACGAUUGAUGUGGGGGUGAUGUGUGUUCAUAAAGGGAGACAAGGCCUGCUAGGGGAACAGUGCCUCUAAGUCUGCUGUGGCAGCAUCUAGUAGUAAUAGAACCUCGCCGUGCCUGGCCGUCAUGUUCUUACCUCAUUUUCCCACUCCGAUGUACCCAUGAAACCCGAUCUUGGUGCCUUUUUUUCCCACCCGAGAGACCAGACCACGAUUUUCUUAAUUUUAGGAAAGAAAAAGGCAUCUCCUAGAGGUGAUGUGUGUUGUACAGAUUAACGUUAAGCCUUUCGCUUUGUUGUUGUUGUUGUUUUAAUUAUCAUGCUUUACAUUUAUUGUCGUUGACCAGAAUCAGUGAUCUCUGUAUUCAGGUUUUCAUUAAAAGAAGCACCC
Gallus gallus (chicken) is the source of this 2232-nucleotide long non-coding RNA. The record is from Ensembl. Lineage: Eukaryota; Metazoa; Chordata; Aves; Galliformes; Phasianidae.